UACGAAGGGGCCGAGCGUUGUUCGGAAUCAUUGGGCGUAAAGGGUGUGUAGGCGGCCAUGUAAGUCAGUUGUGAAAGCCCCGGGCUCAACCCGGGAAGUGCUUCUGAUACUGCUUGGCUUGAGUAUUGGAUAGGUGAGUGGAAUUCCAGGUGUAGUGGUGAAAUACGUAGAUAUUUGGAGGAACACCGGCGGCGAAGGCGGCUCACUGGCCCUCUACUGACGCUGAAACACGAAAGCGUGGGGAGCAAACAGG
This 253-nucleotide ribosomal RNA is filed under the name uncultured bacterium. Its description in RNAcentral is "partial 16S ribosomal RNA". It matches the Rfam family "Bacterial small subunit ribosomal RNA", at positions 524 to 776 of the family's 1533-position model. The record is from RNAcentral.